GUACUAUAAUGAUCUGGGAGUAGAAGAAGACGCUCUACACUGAGGGUAUGAAUCAUUUGUUGUCACGCCGGUCACCGUACUGCUGGAGAGCGGAGAUGAUGAGCAAGAAGCAAACCACCAAAGGCAACGCUCAUUAUCUAGAAGGUAGAUGACAACGUUUUGUGGUUGUUGGACGUCAUAUAAUUAUGCCAUUUUACACUAUGAAACGACUGAGAAGCCUGCUGCUCUUUUAAUCAACUAUCUUGCUGAGUGACCACUACCGAGGCCUGACGUAUAAAAAGAUGAAUAUGGGAUGGGAAUAUCAUGGAAUAUUGAAAUUGCUACAUAUUAUGCACGAUAGCUCAAUAAAUGUUUGGAUAGGCCUAUCUUCCAAAUUUUAAUAAUGGACUAGGCUUCUAGAAUCGAUUCUUAAGAAUAUUUAUCAGAUUGUGAAGUUUUCCAACUCUGAUUCGUUAUCUAACAAUGCUUUGGAUUUGGCUUCAACUUAGAUCUGGUACUUGUCCAUGCAGUUCUUCGGUUCACUUUUCUUCCUGGGCAUCGACUUACUCUGUUGAGACCUAUUACUGGUGUGAUGCACUCGUUUCUAGGUUUAAUUAUAUGACAAGUUUCACGUAUCAUGCUUCCUUCGAACUUGUAGAUUGUUGAUUUUAUGUGCAGGUAAUAAGGAUAGAAAGAGUGGCAUUUUAUAGGUAUGCACUUUCAUCUUUAUAUUCUUGAAUCUUUUGUGGAUGAAAAAUUGAUAGCCCUUUCAUCUUUGAAUCUUUUUGCUGAUGAGAAUCGAAAGCAAAUCUUAUUUUGGAAGGAGCCUUAAUCCUGGCCAUGUGCACUGUUUUCCUUGUUUGCCUUUAUUGAAUUGACACUGCAAGUUUGUGAAGAAUUGAUUCUCGUACUUGCUUGGUUCUUUCAAAUCUUGGUUACAUGUGCACCACCUCUUUUUUUAUUUAGUUAAGCGUUUGAACCUUUGUUUGCUGCUUCAUCAACAACCAUCCCUUUAAUGUACAUUACUAGUCCCUGAUUUUGUAGGAAUGAACAUGGUUGGCUCUAAAGAAUUUUUAAAGCAAAUUUAGUACUGAAAAUCACAUUUUUUGUACAUGAGACUAGUUUUCAGUUCAAAAUGUCUCCCAGUGAUGAAGGGCGCUUUUGACGUUGUACCAAAAUAGUACUAAAUAGGAUAUUUUUUUUGAGUUUUCCAGCCAAGUACCUAAAUAUUUCGUA
Molecule: non-coding RNA, 1215 nt
Organism: Salvia hispanica
Lineage: Eukaryota; Viridiplantae; Streptophyta; Magnoliopsida; Lamiales; Lamiaceae
Source: RefSeq, a predicted model, not a curated record